RNAcentral lists this ribosomal RNA (262 nucleotides) under uncultured archaeon. RNAcentral's name for it is "partial 16S ribosomal RNA". It matches the Rfam family "Archaeal small subunit ribosomal RNA", at positions 748 to 1009 of the family's 1478-position model. The record is from RNAcentral.
CAGCCGUAAACUAUGCGCGUUAGGUGUAUCGGUGACCACGAGUUACCGAGGUGCCGAAGGGAAACCGUGAAACGUGCCGCCUGGGAAGUACGGUCGCAAGGCUGAAACUUAAAGGAAUUGGCGGGGGGAGCACCACAACAGGUGGAGCCUGCGGUUUAAUUGGACUCAACGCCGGGAAGCUCACCGGAUAGGACAGCAGAAUGAUUGCCGGGCUGAAGACUCUGCAUGACUAGCUGAGAGGAGGUGCAUGGCGUAGACGUCU